GACGAACCGUGCGAACGUUAUUCGGAAUCACUGGGCUUAAAGCGCGUGUAGGCGGAUGGGAACGUCGGUAGUUGAAAGCCCCCGGCUCAACCGGGGAAGUGGUGCCGAACCGACCCGUCUGGAGGGACGUAGGGGGACCUGGAACUUCCGGUGGAGCGGUGAAAUGCGUUGAGAUCGGAAGGAACGCCCGUGGCGAAAGCGAGGUCCUGGACGUCUACUGACGCUGAGACGCGAAAGCUAGGGGAGCAAACGGG
Molecule: ribosomal RNA, 254 nt
Filed under: uncultured bacterium
Lineage: Bacteria
Description: partial 16S ribosomal RNA
Rfam family: Bacterial small subunit ribosomal RNA
Source: RNAcentral